AACGUAGGAGACAAGCGUUAUCCGGAGUUACUGGGCGUAAAGGGCGUGUAGGCGGCCUUCUAAGUGGGUUGUGAAAGCGACUGGCUCAACCGGUCGAGGCCGACCCAGACUGGGAAGCUGGAGGGCGGUAGAGGGGUGUGGAAUUCCGGGUGUAGUGGUGAAAUGCGUAGAGAUCCGGAGGAACACCAGAGGCGAAGGCGACACUCUAGGCCGCACCUGACGCUGAGACGCGACAGCACGGGGAGCGAACGGG
RNAcentral lists this ribosomal RNA (253 nucleotides) under uncultured prokaryote. RNAcentral describes it as "partial 16S ribosomal RNA". It matches the Rfam family "Bacterial small subunit ribosomal RNA", at positions 524 to 776 of the family's 1533-position model. The record is from RNAcentral.